RNAcentral lists this ribosomal RNA (332 nucleotides) under uncultured bacterium. RNAcentral's name for it is "bacterial SSU rRNA". It matches the Rfam family "Bacterial small subunit ribosomal RNA", at positions 30 to 361 of the family's 1533-position model. The record is from RNAcentral.
AUUGAACGCUGGCGGCGUGCCUAACACAUGCAAGUCGAGCGGUAACAGGUGUAGCAAUACAUGCUGACGAGCGGCGAACGGGUGAGUAAUGCUUCGGAAUCUACCCAAUGGUGGGGAAUAACCAGCCGAAAGGUUGGCUAAUACCGCAUACGUCCUACGGGAGAAAGCAGGGGAUCGUAAGACCUUGCGCCAAUGGAUGAGCCGAAGUCGGAUUAGCUAGUUGGAGGGUAACGGCCUACCAAGGCGACGAUCCGUAGCUGGUCUGAGAGGACGACCAGCCACACUGGGACUGAGACACGGCCCAGACUCCUACGGGAGGCAGCAGUGGGGAA